RNAcentral lists this ribosomal RNA (522 nucleotides) under uncultured Streptomyces sp. Its description in RNAcentral is "bacterial SSU rRNA". It matches the Rfam family "Bacterial small subunit ribosomal RNA", at positions 144 to 675 of the family's 1533-position model. The record is from RNAcentral. Lineage: Bacteria; Bacillati; Actinomycetota; Actinomycetes; Kitasatosporales; Streptomycetaceae.
CAAGCCCUGGAAACGGGGUCUAAUACCGGAUAGGACUACCGGCCGCAUGGUCUGGUGGUGGAAAGCGUUAGUGGUGCAGGAUGAGCCCGCGGCCUAUCAGCUUGUUGGUGGGGUGAUGGCCUACCAAGGCGACGACGGGUAGCCGGCCUGAGAGGGCGACCGGCCACACUGGGACUGAGACACGGCCCAGACUCCUACGGGAGGCAGCAGUGGGGAAUAUUGCACAAUGGGCGGAAGCCUGAUGCAGCGACGCCGCGUGAGGGAUGACGGCCUUCGGGUUGUAAACCUCUUUCAGCAGGGAAGAAGCUUUUAUCGGUGACGGUACCUGCAGAAGAAGCACCGGCUAACUACGUGCCAGCAGCCGCGGUAAUACGUAGGGUGCGAGCGAUGUCCGGAAUUAUUGGGCGUAAAGAGCUCGUAGGCGGCGUGUCACGUCGGAUGUGAAAGCCCGGGGCUUAACUCCGGGUCUGCAUUCGAUACGGGCUCGCUAGAGUUCGGUAGGGGAGAUCGGAAUUCCUGGUG